UGCAUUCACUACUAUAAGUCCCUCUGGAUAAGAGUGUCUGCUAAAUGACUAAAA
This is a non-coding RNA of Salmo salar (Atlantic salmon), 54 nucleotides long. The record is from Rfam. Lineage: Eukaryota; Metazoa; Chordata; Actinopteri; Salmoniformes; Salmonidae.